CCUAUGGCUGCAGUGAGGAAUAUUGGUCAAUGGACGCAAGUCUGAACCAGCCAUGCCGCGUGCAGGAUGACGGAUCUAUGAGUUGUAAACUGCUUUUGUACGAGGGUAAACCCCGAUACGUGUAUCGGGUUGAAAGUAUCGUACGAAUACGGAUCGGCUAACUCCGUGCCAGCAGCCGCGGUAAUACGGAGGAUACGAGCGUUAUUCGGAUUUCUUGGGUUUAAGGGGUGCGUAGGCGGGUUGAAAAGGUAGAGGUGAAAUGUAGGGGCUCAAACCCGAAACUGCCUCUAAUACUGUUGGGCUAGAGAAUAGUAGCGGUAGGCGGAAUGCAUGGUGUAGCGGUGAAAUGCUUAGAGAUCAUACAGAACACCGAUGGCGAAGGCAGCUUACCAAACUAUAUCUGACGUUGAGGCACGAAAGCGUGGGUAGCAAACAGGAUUAGAUACCCGAGUAGUC
This 456-nucleotide ribosomal RNA is filed under the name uncultured bacterium. RNAcentral describes it as "partial 16S ribosomal RNA". It matches the Rfam family "Bacterial small subunit ribosomal RNA", at positions 342 to 795 of the family's 1533-position model. The record is from RNAcentral.